RNAcentral lists this long non-coding RNA (1528 nucleotides) under Theobroma cacao (cacao). RNAcentral describes it as "long non-coding RNA (TCAC_LNC001025)". The record is from RNAcentral. Lineage: Eukaryota; Viridiplantae; Streptophyta; Magnoliopsida; Malvales; Malvaceae.
CCACGAGGACACCUCGUCCUAGUUACUGACUGUCUCUUAAUCUGAAAACAUGAAGUUGAAAGCGAUGAGCAUAAACUCAGUGAGUGAACAAUAAGGGAACAAGCAUACCAUAAGGAAUGUUUAUCGAAAUCAUCAUGCACUCAUUUUCUCAAAACAAUACAAUUUGUUCUAGUUCUUAGUAGAACCCCUCAUGAGUAAAUCACUUAAAAGAUCCAUACUCAACUAUGGUACCAAAGAAUCAAAAAAUAUACCAAAACCCACAAGUUAGCCAAAAUGGAUAGAAAGUUCCUCGCUGCAACGAGAACCAGGUCUGGAGAAGGCCUUCAAACUCGAAAGUUUCUCGUUGCAGUGAGAAUGAAUCUCGCUGCAGCGAGAGUCAGAACAUCAAGGAAAAAGUCUCAUUUUCUUUUAAAACAAGCCAUCUUGCUAAAAUAACAAUAGCAACAUGUAACACAUGUAAACUCUCAAAUUUUAACAAAUCAAAAGCUCACAUAUUUGCAUUUACAACCAUAUACCAUAUAUCUAUAUAUAUAUAUAUAUAUCAAUCAUCAUAUACACCCUCCCAUCAUCAUCAUCUCAUAUGCAACGGCUUAUGUGUACUCCCACUCGCAUAUAGCCGGGUCAGCAACGACUUAUGUGCACUCUUACUCGCACAUAGCCGAGUCAGCAACGGCUUAUGUGCACUCCCACUAGCACAUAGCCGGGUCAGCAACGGCUUAUGUGCACUCCCACUCGCACAUAGUCGGGUCAACAACGGCUUAUGUGCACUCCUACUCGCACAUAGCCGGGUCCACAUUAACAUGCAAAGAAGCAUCCAAUGCAUAUCAUGCAUUUUACCAUAUUGUGAUAACACAUAAACCAUUGUAUAGCACAUUUUAACAAUAUAAAAUUAUUUUACUAAAAGCUUGUUCCCAAGGUACAUUUUCGAAGACAAGUUGGAUAGAAUCUUUCAUAUUCCCCAAAACAAGUUUGAAAUGCAAGUCCAAUCACCGGUAUUCUUGAGCCUUUAACCGACUCUUAAUUCCCCUAAUGAUCCAAUUGGGGUGAUGGGCCUUCGUUAGCACUUACCAUCAAUUUAACAUUUCCAUAAUGUCAAUUUACAUACUAUAAACCCUAAAAGCUAUCUUUUAGCUAGCUUUCAAUUGCCGUUUAAAUGGCCAUCCAUUUUCACUUUCCUAUCACUUUAAAGUGAAUUAACAAUUUCAACUACAAAACAUUCACAAUUCAAAUAUCUAGUCAUUCUCAACACUUAAAACCCAAUAUUAGUUUUCUACUCACCUUGAUAGCUUUGUAACUUUGAACUUCUUUCUAAAAGCUCUCAAGCUAUUAAUAAAGCUUCUUCUUUCUCUCUCUAAAACACUUAACUAGUGAGAGAGUAUAGAAACAAGAUUUUCAUCAUUUUCAAGGGUUUUAAAGUGAGAGAGUGGAAGAAUACAAGGGUUCUAGUCAAAAGGGCACCAAGGUAUGAAAAUUAAAGCUAGAGAGAGAAAGUUAUGAAAGCUUCACAUCAAGCUUCCAUGGAGGAAUU